GGGAGGAGACCUUACAGGGGAUUUAAAACCAGCCCCAGAUGCAGCCAGGAUCAGGUGGCCAGCACAACUCCCAGGCAUCAGCUCAGACCAUACUGGGCUCAGCAGGAUGAAGGUGAGAAUAUUGUCCUGACAAAGUGUCCUCUGCUGUCUCUACUGAUAGAUACAGUGUAUCACAUAUUAAUAUAACUAUUGUAUGAUCAGACUGUACUGAUAGAUACAGUGUAACAAUGUGUGAUAAUGUAACUAUUAUAUGAGCAGAGUAUACUAAUAGAUACAGUGUAACAAUGUGUGAUAAUAUAACUAUUGUAUGAGCAGACUGUACUGAUAGAUACAGUGUAACAAUGUGUGAUAAUAUAAAUAUUGUAUGAGCAGACUGUACUGAUAGAUACAGUGUAACAAUAUGUGAUAAUAUAACUAUUGUAUGAGCAGAUUGUACUGAUAGAUACAGUGUAACAAUGUGUGAUAAUAUAACUAUUGUAUGAUCAGACUGUACUGAUAGAUACAGUGUAACAAUGUGCGAUAAUAUAACUAUUAUAUGAGCAGAGUGUACUAACAGAUACAGUGUAACAAUGUGUGAUAAUAUAACUAUUGUAUGAGCAGAGUGAACUGAUAGAUACAGUGUAACAAUGUGUGAUAAUAUAACUAUUAUAUGAGCAGAUUGUACUGAUAGAUACAGUGUAACAAUGUGUGAUAAUAUAACUAUUUUAUGAGCAAAGUAUAGUAAUAGAUACAGUGUAACAAUGUGUGAUAAUAUAACUAUUAUAUGAGCAGACUGUACUGAUAGAUACAGUGUAACAAUGUGUGAUAAUAUAACUAUUAUAUGAGCAGACUGUACUGAUAGAUAUAGUGUAACAAUGUGUGAUAAUAUAACUAUUGUAUGAGCAGACUGUACUGAUAGAUACAGUGUAACAAUGUGUGAUAAUAUAACUAUUGUAUGAGCAGACUGUACUGAUAGAUACAGUGUAACAAUGUGUGAUAAUAUAACUAUUAUAUGAGCAGACUGUACUGAUAGAUACAGUGUAACAAUGUGUGAUAAUAUAACUAUUGUAUGAGCAGAGUGUACUGAUAGAUAUAGUGUAACAAUAUGUGAUAAUAUAACUAUUAUAUGAGCAGAGUGCACUGAUAGAUACAGUGUAACAAUAUGUGAUAAUAUAACUAUUGUAUGAGCAGAGUGUACUGAUAGAUACAGUGUAACAAUGUGUGAUAAUAUAACUAUUGAAUGAGCAGACUGUACUGAUAAAUACAGUGUAACAAUGUGUGAUAAUAUAACUAUUGUAUGAGCAGACUGUACUGACAGAUACAGUGUAACAAUGUGUGAUAAUAUAACUAGUGUAUGAGCAGACUGUACUGACAGAUACAGUGUAACAAUGUGUGAUAAUAUAACUAUUGUAUGAGCAGAUUGUACUGAUAGAUACAGUGUAACAAUGUGUGAUAAUAUAACUAUUGUAUAAGCAGACUGUACUGACAGAUACAGUGUAACAAUGUGUGAUAAUAUAACUAUUGUAUGAGCAGAGUGUACUGAUAGAUACAGUGUAGUAAUAAGUGUUCAUGUAACAGUUGCAAUUCCACAAUUAGAUUAAAUGUAAAAUCUGCAUUAUAUAUAUUACACUAUUAAUUACAAUGUAAUUAUCUUUAAAAUUAUAUGUAUUAUUCAUUACAAUUUAAUCAUUUGUGAUAUUAUAUGGACUAUACUAUUAGAUAAAAUGGAUAAUCUGUAAAAUGUUAUGUAUUGUACUAUUUCAUACAAUGUAAUAAUCUGUGAUAUUAUAUGGAUUGUACUGUUAUAUAAAUAAGGUAAAAUGUUAUUCUGUUCAUAAUAUUGUAAUCAUCUGUAAUAUUAUAUAUAUAUUGCACUGCUAGCUACUAUAUAUAUAUAUAUAUAUAUAUAUAUAUAUAUAAUAUUACCAUAUAAUAUGCAGUGAUAUUAUAUAUAUUGUACGGUUAGCUACCAUGUAAUAUUCUGUAAUAUUAUAUAGAUUGUACGGUUAGUUACCAUGUAAUAUUCUGUAAUAUUAUAUAUAUUGUACUAUUAGCUACCAUGUAAUAUUCUGUAAUAUUAUAUAUAUUGUACUGUUAGCUACCAUGUAAUAUUCUGUAAUAUUAUAUAUAUUGUACUGUUAGUUACCAUGUAAUAUUCUGUAAUAUUAUAUAUAUUGUACUAUUAGCUACCAUGUAAUAUUCUGUAAUAUUAUAUAUAUUGUACUGUUAGCUACCAUGUAAUAUUCUGUAAUAUUAUAUAUAGUACUGUUAGCUACCAUGUAAUAUGCUGUAAUAUUAUAUAUAUUGUACUAUUAGCUACCAUGUAAUAUUAUAUAUACUGUACUCUUAGCUACCAUAUAAUAUGCAGUUAUAUUAUACAGAUUGUACAGUUAGUUACCAUGUAAUAUUCUGUAAUAUUGUAUAUAUUGUACUGUUGGCUUCCAUGUAAUAUUGUGUAAUAUUAUAUAUAGUGUACUGUUAGCUACCAUGUAAUAUUCUGUAAUAUUAUAUAUAUUGUACUGUUAGCUACCAUGUAAUAUUCUGUAAUAUUAUAUAUAGUACUGUUAGCUACCAUGUAAUAUGCUGUAAUAUUAUAUAUAUUGUACUAUUAGCUACCAUGUAAUAUUAUAUAUACUGUACUCUUAGCUACCAUAUAAUAUGCAGUUAUAUUAUACAGAUUGUACAGUUAGUUACCAUGUAAUAUUCUGUAAUAUUAUAUAUAUUGUACUAUUAGCUACCAUGUAAUAUUCUGUAAUAUUAUAUAUAUUGUACUGUUAGCUACCAUGUAAUAUUCUGUAAUAUUAUAUAUAUUGCAUUGUUAGCUACCAUGUAAUAUUCUGUAAUAUUAUAUAUAUUGUACUGUUAGCUACCAUGUAAUAUUCUGUAAUAUUAUAUAUAGUACUGUUAGCUACCAUGUAAUAUGCUGUAAUAUUAUAUAUAUUGUACUAUUAGCUACCAUGUAAUAUUAUAUAUAUUGUACUGUUAGUUACCAUGCAGUUAUAUUAUACAGAUUGUACAGUUAGUUACCAUGUAAUAUUCUGUAAUAUUAUAUAUAUUGUACUGUUAGCUACCAUGUAAUAUGCUGUAAUAUUAUAUAUAUUGUACUAUUAGCUACCAUGUAAUAUUCUGUAAUAUUAUAUAUAGUACUAUUAGUUACCAUGUAAUAUGCUGUAAUAUUAUAUAUAUUGUACUAUUAGCUACCAUGUAAUAUUCUGUAAUAUUAUAUAUAGUACUAUUAGCUACCAUGUAAUAUUCUGUAAUAUUAUAUAUAUUGCAUUGUUAGCUACCAUGUAAUAUUCUGUAAUAUUAUAUAUAGUACUGUUAGCUACCAUGUAAUAUGCUGUAAUAUUAUAUAUAUUGUACUAUUAGAUACCAUGUAAUAUUAUAUAUACUGUACUCUUAGCUACCAUAUAAUAUGCAGUUAUAUUAUACAGAUUGUACAGUUAGUUACCAUGUAAUAUUCUGUAAUAUUGUAUAUAUUGUACUGUUGGCUUCCAUGUAAUAUUGUGUAAUAUUAUAUAUAGUGUACUGUUAGCUACCAUGUAAUAUUCUGUAAUAUUAUAUAUAUUGUACUGUUAGUUACCAUGUAAUAUUCUGUAAUAUUAUAUAUAUUGUACUGUUAGCUACCAUGUAAUAUUCUGUAAUAUUAUAUAUAGUACUGUUAGCUACCAUGUAAUAUGCUGUAAUAUUAUAUAUAUUGUACUAUUAGCUACCAAGUAAUAUUAUAUAUACUGUACUCUUAGCUACCAUAUAAUAUGCAGUUAUAUUAUACAGAUUGUACAGUUAGUUACCAUGUAAUAUUCUGUAAUAUUAUAUAUAUUGUACUAUUAGCUACCAUGUAAUAUUCUGUAAUAUUAUAUAUAUUGUACUGUUAGCUACCAUGUAAUAUUCUGUAAUAUUAUAUAUAUUGCAUUGUUAGCUACCAUGUAAUAUUCUGUAAUAUUAUAUAUAUUGUACUGUUAGCUACCAUGUAAUAUUCUGUAAUAUUAUAUAUAGUACUGUUAGCUACCAUGUAAUAUGCUGUAAUAUUAUAUAUAUUGUACUAUUAGCUACCAUGUAAUAUUAUAUAUACUGUACUCUUAGCUACCAUAUAAUAUGCAGUUAUAUUAUACAGAUUGUACAGUUAGUUACCAUGUAAUAUUCUGUAAUAUUAUAUAUAUUGCAUUGUUAGCUACCAUGUAAUAUUCUGUAAUAUUGUAUAUAUUGUACUGUUGGCUUCCAUGUAAUAUUGUGUAAUAUUAUAUAUAGUGUACUGUUAGUUACCAUGCAAUAUUCUGUGAUAUUAGAUGUAUUGUACUGUUAGUUACCAUGUAAUAUUCUGUAAUAUUAUAUAUAUUGUACUGUUAGUUACCAUGUAAUAUUCUGUAAUAUUAUAUACAUUGUACUGUUAGUUACCAUGUAAUAUUCUGUAAUAUUAUAUAUAUUGUACUGUUAGCUACCAUGCAAUAUUCUGUAAUAUUAUAUAUAUGGUACUGUUAGCUACCAUGUAAUAUUCUGUAAUAUUAUAUAUAUUGUACUGUUAGUUACCAUGUAAUAUUCUGUAAUAUUAUAUAUAUUGUACUGUUAGCUACCAUGUAAUAUUCUGUAAUAUUAUAUAUAUUGUACUAUUAGCUACCAUGUAAUAUUCUGUAAUAUUAUAUAUAUUGUACUGUUAGCUACCAUGUAAUAUUCUGUAAUAUUAUAUAUAUUGUACUGUUAGUUACCAUGUAAUAUUCUGUAAUAUUAUAUAUAUUGUACUGUUAGCUACCAUGUAAUAUUCUGUAAUAUUAUAUAUAUUGUACGAUUAGCUACCAUGUAAUAUUCUGUAAUAUUAUAUAUAUUGUACUGUUAGCUACCAUGUAAUAUUCUGUAAUAUUAUAUAUAUUGUACUGUUAGUUACCAUGUAAUAUUCUGUAAUAUUAUAUAUAUAGUACUGUUGGCGACCAUGUAAUAUUCUGUAAUAUUAUAUAUAUUGUACUGUUAGCUACCAUGUAAUAUUCUGUAAUAUUAUAUAUAUUGUACUGUUGGCUUCCAUGUAAUAUUUUGUAAUAUUAUAUAUAUUGUACUGUUAGCUACCAUGUAAUAUUCUGUAAUAUUAUAUAUAUUGUACUGUUAGUUACCAUGUAAUAUUCUGUAAUAUUAUAUAUAUAGUACUGUUGGCGACCAUGUAAUAUUCUGUAAUAUUAUAUAUAUUGUACUGUUAGCUACCAUGUAAUAUUCUGUAAUAUUAUAUAUAUUGUACUGUUGGCUUCCAUGUAAUAUUUUGUAAUAUUAUACAUAGUGUACUGUUAGCUACCAUGUAAUAUUCUGUAAUAUUAUAUAUAUUGCAUUGUUAGCUUCCAUGCAAUAUUCUGUAAUAUUAUAUAUAUUGUACUGUUGGAUUCCAUGUAAUAUUUUGUAAUAUUAUAUAUAGUGUACUGUUAGCUACAAUGUAAUAUUCUGUGAUAUUAGAUGUAUUGUACUGUUAGCUACCAUGUAAUAUUCUGUAAUAUUAUAUAUAGUACUGUUAGUUACCAUGUAAUAUUCUGUAAUAUUAUAUAUAUUGCACUGUUAGUUACCAUGUCAUAUUCUGUAAUAUUAUAUAUAUUGCACGGUUAGUUACCAUGUAAUAUUCUGUAAUAUUAUAUAUAUUGUACUGUUAGCUACCAUGUAAUAUUCUGUAAUAUUAUAUAUAUUGCACUGUUAGUUACCAUGUAAUAUUCUGUAAUAUUAUAUAUAGUACUGUUAGCUACCAUGUAAUAUGCUGUGACAUUAUAUAAAUUGUACUGUUGGCUUCCAUGUAAUAUUUUGUAGUAUUAUAUAUAUUAUACAGUUAGUUACCAUGUAAUAUUCUGUGAUAUUAGAUAUAUUGUGCUGUUAGUUACCAUGUAAUAUUCUGUGAUAUUGUGACUAUACAGACUAAUAUCGUCCGUGGGUACUUCCACUUACUUGCACAGGUGAUCACUAUACUAGGUGCUAUUACCUGGGCUUCGAGUCCCUUUAUCCACCAGCAUUCACAUUAAAGCAGAUCUUUGAUAGUUACAGCAAGGAAAGAGACAACCAACUUCUAUCUAGCUACAAACAGCAACAACCUUUAUUUUCAAACAGCAACUGCCAGGCAGAUAUUUCAGCAUCGGGGGAGGCUCUGCAUCUUAUAGAAAAACUUAAACUCUCUUUCAGCUGGCAAAAGGUAGUAAAAAGGGACAACAAGUUGACGGGUCACUUUCCAUUCCUGCCGCACCUCCCUCACACUACUCUCCCUGUACAGCAGACCCCCUCCCAAAAGAUCCUCUCCUUCUGUAGUCCUACCUCUCCUGUCUCCGGCCUGUCCCUCAUCCCAGCUAAACUAGGGUCCACUAGGGUCUCCUGACUCAGCAGGGUUAGUCCAGGCAGUCUUAGUCAGAUCAGGGGGGUUUGAUCUUGUGACAAAACCCCUGUUUUAUGAAUGCCAAGACUGUUGUAUUUCGUCUGCUGUUCAUGUAGUUAGCCCUAUUUCGUUCUUUUCAUAAAAAAACGGACAAACUACCGAACAGCCAGACCACCUGCACUGGGAGUGUGCAGCUCAUUAAUCGCCCUGAAGCUGCGGUUAACCACAGCUAUUUAACGAAAGGCUGGAUGGUUUGAAUGAACACGUGGCGGCGGCCAUUUUAAACUGACGAAUGCCCGGCGGUGUUUGGUCGUCGACUGUGUGGAACUAUUUUCGGCCACAAUUUCACACGAAAACCGCUGGGACUAUCUAACUUCCACCUCAUUAGUUUCUAUUUACACGAAUGCCAUGCCGUUCGGUGCAUUUAACACUCGAAUGAGACCGACCCCAGGUAGCUNNNNNNNNNNNNNNNNNNNNNNNNNNNNNNNNNNNNNNNNNNNNNNNNNNNNNNNNNNNNNNNNNNNNNNNNNNNNNNNNNNNNNNNNNNNNNNNNNNNNCAAUCCCUGGAGCUAAUUUUGGACAUAUUUUAAACGAACAGUCAGGGAACAAAAUCUUUAGCUCCAUGGCGAUUUGACUGUGUUCGUGGGAUCUGAGCGCUGUUCUGCNNNNNNNNNNNNNNNNNNNNNNNNNNNNNNNNNNNNNNNNNNNNNNNNNNNNNNNNNNNNNNNNNNNNNNNNNNNNNNNNNNNNNNNNNNNNNNNNNNNNUAUAUUGAGCGCUCAGACCCAAGUUACCAUGUAAUAUUCAGUGAUAUUAUAUAUGUUGUCCUGUUAGUUACUGUGAAGAAAUUCCCCUCUUUUGCUUUAAAAUGACAAUUUGUAUUCCCUUCUUUUAUGUUAGCUUUCCCUAUGGCAUUCGGUAGGUAAAACUACCGAAUCGAGACCACCCCGAUGCCCAUUAUGAAUACUUUACCUCCCUGCUUGCUGGGCAUGUUCGACAAAAGUUCUGCACGAACGGUAUGCACCGCCGCCAUUUCGGGACUUCCACGUGUUCGCGGCUAUUUUAGCUCCCGAACAGCAGUGUUUGCCGUCGAGUGUCUGGAACUGAAAACGGACACUCAAAUAGGCGAACACCGCUGAAUCCUCCAUACCUUCGGUAAAACCCCAUUAAAACUACUGAACGACCGGGCGUUCGGUAGAAAGACUCACUGACAGAUGGGGAGUCAAGCGAACCAAGGAUGGUAGCUGGAUGGCCGGCCGUUCGGGAGGUUUUUUCAUGCGACCGAAGACCGACUGCAGGGCCAGAAUUCAUGGAACUGUUUUCGGCUACUUUGCCCGUGCAGUCGGUCAAAACUUCUAAGUCCCAUAUCUCCCGAACGGCUGAACCGAAUGGACUGAUUUUUUCAUAUGUUGGUCCCCCAGAGUACAGCUAUCAAGUCCUUGGGGUACAUCCAGACUUUGGGGAAAUUAUGUUCCGUUUUAAUUAUGUUUAAUGGUUAUCUGAGGGGAGGAGAUUUAUGUAUAUUGUUAGGAUUGGAUGUACAGUUAAUUAUAUGGGAGGCUCCCUUGCAUGGGCAGAAUUCCAUAAAAAGAGCAUGCCUGUCAAUAAAUCCUUAGUUCAUCUUUGUACCCUUCUUCUGACUACGUAUGCUGUAGCGGAGAGGCAGUAUAAUCCACGAUAUCUCCGCUGGGUAACAGGAACAACAAAGGAUAAUCCAGGGAAUCAGCAUACAAUAAUCCAAACAGCACUGCAGUAACCCUUCCCUCCCAGGAACUAGACGACACAUAGGCUGGGAGUCAACUGAGGUCUUUUAAUUCAGCUCCACAAUUUAUACAAGUCCCCAUGCAAGGGGUUUCCUGAGUCCCCUCCCAGGGGCAUUCCCAGAGGGGACUGCAUGGGGGACUUACAAUACAGGACAUUUCUCCCAUCAGGCACUGCUGCACGAGAGGGAUCCUCCCACUGGAAUAUACCGUUAAGUGGAUUAUCCCUCCGUGCAGCAGAACUCACAAUUCAUAUUAAAUUCAAUAACUUCAUGAAUAUCUGGGUUAUUUAAACGAAUGGACGUUCGGUAGAUAGCUGGGGUCUGAGCGCAUCAUUCGUGAGAUUACCGCUCAGAUCCCAGCUAAAACAACCGAACGCCGCACGAAAAACACAUUCACUAACACAUAGCCUGAAAACACCGAUUACAGAUAAGGGAAUAAAAUACCGAAUGUCCCGGACCUCCCGAACGGUCUGGAGGUUCAGCGGUGUUCGCGCCGUCGAGUAGCCGUUUUUAGUACCACGCGCUCGACGACCAAACACCGCUGAGGGAACAUAGGAUUCAAGAUGGCCGACCGCCGCAUGGUCGGUAGUCGAACGGUGGCCACCCAGGAGAGCCUCUAAUUACCGAUUGCAACAUUGUUGCAAUCGGUUAAUAGGCGCCACAUGCCUCUAAGUGUGUGGGCUAUUAAAGGAUAUUUCGUUCGGUUCCCGAACGGCCCGCAAAGGUGCCGUUCGUGAAACGAAGGGGAAUCAGCUAUCUGCGUUCGGCAGAUAGCCCAGGCAGGCAAUACAUCAUUAACAUUGCAUUACAAUACAUGCUGGAACACACAAUAGGAACCCCAUACCGGCAACCCUUAAAGGGACAGUACAGAUGUAUUUAAUAAUGUCCAAGUGGCUAGGUUUGCCACAUAUGCUGUUUGGGAGUUCGUGUGUUUUACUGAGGGAAUUAUCCAGGGACACUAUUGGAAUUACACUGGGAUUCGUCUACCAUAACUACCGAACGGAGGGCUAUAUUCACUAGGCUCUGACGGUUCGGGAGGAGGUUUAAAUGUACUUGGUUUCCUUACAGUUACCAUGUAAUAUUCUAUGAUAUUAUAUAUUGUACUUUUAGUUACCAUGUAAUUCUGCGAUAUUAUAUAUUGUACUAUUAGCUACCAUGUCAUAUUCAGUGAUAUUAUAUAUUGUACUGUUAGUUACCAUGUAAUAUCCUGUAAUAUUAUAUAGUUUAAUGUUAUUUACAAUAUUUUCAGGUUUGUAACAGUGUGUAUAAAAUAUAAUGUAUAGUUUACUAGUUUUAUAACAAUCAAUUUAUAAUAAAAUCAAUAUUUUCUAACUUUCACAUUUGUGUGUAUAGAUUAUAAUGUAGAUGUUACUAAGUUUAUAGCACUGGGUAUAGAAUAUAAUGUAUAUUUUGUUAGGUAUACAGCGCUGGAUGUGGAAUAUAAUGUAUAUUUUGUUAGGUAUACAGCGCUGGAUGUGGAAUAUAAUGUAUAUUCUGAGGUUUAGAGCACUGGAUGUGGAAUAUAAUUAUAUAGUGUUAUAGCGAGACUGCAUGGUGGAGCUGAUGGUAGCACCGUUGACUUGGAGGGAGACAGACACAGGAGUAACAACACUUGAGGGAGGAACGACCAGAAUUUCAGUUUUGGUCAAGUUUAGUUUAAGGAAGUGGGCAGCCAUCCAGUUAGAAACAGCAGAGAGGCAGUCAGAGACACUAGUCAAGAGGGACGGGGAGAGAUCAGGAGAGGACAGGUAGAUUUGCGUGUCAUCUGCAUAGAAAUGAUAUUGGAAGCCAAAGAUUAAUUAUCUAGAUCUGGAUGUGGAAUAUAAUGUUUGUUUUGUUAGGUAUACAGCACUUGUUACAUAAUAUAAUGUCUAUUUUGUUAGGUAUAUAGCACUGGGUAUAUAAUAUAAUGUUUAUUUGUUUAGGUAAACAGUACUGGGUGUAGAAUAUAAUGUACUGGGUGUAGAAUUUAAUGUAUAUUUUGUUAGGGUUAUAGCACUGGAUGCAUAACAUAUAUUGUUAGGUAAAUAGCACUUGUUAUAGAUUAUAAAGUAUAUUUUGUUAGGUAUAUUGCACUGGGUAUAGAAUAUUAUGUAUACUAUGUUAGUUAUAUAGCACUGGGCACAGAAUAUAAUGUAUAUCUUGUUAGUUAUCUAGCGCUGGAUGUGGAAUAUAACAUAUACUUUGUUAGGUAUACAGCACUUGUUAUAGAAUAUAAUGUAUAUUUUGUUAGGUAUAUAGUAUUGGAUAAAGAAUAUUAUGUUCAUUUUGUUAGGUAUAUAGCACUGGGCGCAGAAUAUAAUGCAUAUCUUGUAAGGUUUAUAGCACUGGAUGCAGACAAUAAUAUAUAUUUUGUUAGAUUUAUAGCACUGGGCAUACAUUAUAAUGUUUAUUUUGUUAGUUAUAUAGCACUGGAUGCAGAAAAUCCUAUAUAUAUUCUGAGGUUUAGAUCACUGGAUACAGAAUAGAAUCACAUACUGUUAGGGUUAGAGUACUGGAUACAGAAUAGAAUCACAUAUUGUUAGGGUUACAGUACUGGAUACAGAAUAGAAUCACAUAUUGUUAGGGUUAGAGUACUGGAUACAGAAUAGAAUCACAUAUUGUUAGGGUUACAGUACUGGAUACAGAAUAGAAUCACAUAUUGUUAGGGCUACAGUACUGGAUGCAGAAUAGAAUCACAUAUUGUUAGGGUUACAGUACUGGAUACAGAAUAGAAUCACAUAUUGUUAGGGUUACAGUACUGGAUGCAGAAUAGAAUCACAUAUUGUUAGGGUUACAGUACUGGAUACAGAAUAGAAUCACAUACUGUUAGGGUUACAGUACUGGAUACAGAAUAGAAUCACAUACUGUUAGGGUUACAGUACUGGAUACAGAAUAGAAUCACAUAUUGUUAGGGUUACAGUACUGGAUGCAGAAUAGAAUCACAUAUUGUUAGGGUUACAGUACUGGAUACAGAAUAGAAUCACAUAUUGUUAGGGUUACAGUACUGGAUACAGAAUAGAAUCACAUAUUGUUAGGGUAACAGUACUGGAUACAGAAUAGAAUCACAUAUUGUUAGGGUAACAGUACUGGAUACAGAAUAGAAUCACAUACUGUUAGGGUUACAGUACUGGAUACAGAAUAGAAUCACAUAUUGUUAGGGUUACAGUACUGGAUGCAGAAUAGAAUCACAUAUUGUUAGGGUUACAGUACUGGAUACAGAAUAGAAUCACAUAUUGUUAGGGUUACAGUACUGGAUACAGAAUAGAAUCACAUAUUGUUAGGGUUACAGUACUGGAUGCAGAAUAGAAUCACAUAUUGUUAGGGUUACAGUACUGGAUGCAGAAUAGAAUCACAUAUUGUUAGGGUUACAGUACUGGAUGCAGAAUAGAAUCACAUAUUGUUAGGGUUACAGUACUGGAUGCAGAAUAGAAUCACAUAUUGUUAGGGUUACAGUACUGGAUACAGAAUAGAAUCACAUAUUGUUAGGGUUACAGUACUGGAUACAGAAUAGAAUCACAUAUUGUUAGGGUAACAGUACUGGAUACAGAAUAGAAUCACAUAUUGUUAGGGUAACAGUACUGGAUACAGAAUAGAAUCACAUACUGUUAGGGUUACAGUACUGGAUACAGAAUAGAAUCACAUAUUGUUAGGGUUACAGUACUGGAUGCAGAAUAGAAUCACAUAUUGUUAGGGUUACAGUACUGGAUACAGAAUAGAAUCACAUAUUGUUAGGGUUACAGUACUGGAUGCAGAAUAGAAUCACAUAUUGUUAGGGUUACAGUACUGGAUGCAGAAUAGAAUCACAUAUUGUUAGGGUUACAGUACUGGAUACAGAAUAGAAUCACAUAUUGUUAGGGUUACAGUACUGGAUACAGAAUAGAAUCACAUAUUGUUAGGGUUACAGUACUGGAUACAGAAUAGAAUCACAUAUUGUUAGGGUUACAGUACUGGAUACAGAAUAGAAUCACAUAUUGUUAGGUUUACAGUGCUUGAUACAGAAUAGAAUCACAUAUUGUUAGGGUUACAGUACUGAUACAGAAUAGAAUCACAUAUUGUUAGGUUUACAGUGCUGGAUACAGAAUAGAAUCACAUACUGUUAGGGUUACAGUACUGGAUACAGAAUAGAAUCACAUAUUGUUAGGGUUACAGUACCGGAUACAGAAUAGAAUCACAUAUUGUUAGGGUUACAGUACUGGAUGCAGAAUAGAAUCUAUAUUUUGAGAUUUAUAGGAGAUAAAGGAGAAUUAACUUUUCUAUCUCAGUGCUUUGAGCUUUCCAUCUUGGUUGAGGAAGUUAAUGAAAUGACCCCCGAUCUGUGUUUUCCCAUUUGCAGGAAUUAAGCUCCUAUACGACCUGUAUCUUUAUCCUGUUACUGGCGGUGUCCAUGACCUGCCCCUCGCGGGGAAUCUCCCAGGUGAGUAGUUAGAUGAAUUAAUAAAUGUAUCCAAAAUGUAUCAGCGUUUCUUAUGUGUAAUUUAAGGCAGCACUCUGUGCCCCUAGGAGCUGACUUUGUGUGUGAAUAGUCCUCAUUUUAAUUUUGCAAAAAGUGCAGAUUUCAUUAGAAAUUGACACUUUUAAAAAUUAACCUUGUCACACCCCCUGUCUGCCAAUCAGACACCCGGUCCUGUUACUUCCUAUUUUUUUCAACUCAGUAGAGGCAGUAACUGCCAAAAGCACCUGCCUUGCAAAAACGUCUCAUUGAACUGCAUUGGGAAGUCUGUGAUUGGACAGUCACAGAAAAUGUGGGCGGGGUUAGAAGGGGACGGUUUGCAAGGGCUGCAAACAAGAGAUCUAUAGCUUUUACAAGCUGGUUUUAGAUAUAACCACAAUGAAAACAUUUAGAAUUAAAUACAUGCAUGAUUUUAUUGGGAGUAUAUCUACUAAACAGUGAUUUAUAUUAUAAUUUUUUAUCCUGUGGGCAGUUGAGUGUCCUUUUAAUGUUUCUUUGUUUGUUUGUAUAUUUUUGUUUGCAUAGAAUCACUUCCAGAGAAGGAAUUGGACUCCCCAGGCCAUGCUUUACUUAAAGGGGGCAC
This 13079-nucleotide long non-coding RNA is filed under the name Pelobates cultripes (western spadefoot toad). Lineage: Eukaryota; Metazoa; Chordata; Amphibia; Anura; Pelobatidae. The record is from RNAcentral.